UGCAGUCGAGCGGACAGAUGGGAGCUUGCUCCCUGAUGUUAGCGGCGGACGGGUGAGUAACACGUGGGUAACCUGCCUGUAAGACUGGGAUAACUCCGGGAAACCGGGGCUAAUACCGGAUGCUUGUUUGAACCGCAUGGUUCAGACAUAAAAGGUGGCUUCGGCUACCACUUACAGAUGGACCCGCGGCGCAUUAGCUAGUUGGUGAGGUAACGGCUCACCAAGGCGACGAUGCGUAGCCUACCUGAGAGGGGAAUCGGCCACACUGGGACUGAGACACGGCCCAGACUCCUACGGGAGGCAGCAGUAGGGAAUCUUCCGCAAUGGACGAAAGUCUGACGGAGCAACGCCGCGUGAGUGAUGAAGGUUUUCGGAUCGUAAAGCUCUGUUGUUAGGGAAGAACAAGUGCCGUUCAAAUAGGGCGGCACCUUGACGGUACCUAACCAGAAAGCCACGGCUAACUACGUGCCAC
RNAcentral lists this ribosomal RNA (472 nucleotides) under Bacillus sp. (in: firmicutes). Its description in RNAcentral is "bacterial SSU rRNA". It matches the Rfam family "Bacterial small subunit ribosomal RNA", at positions 56 to 511 of the family's 1533-position model. Lineage: Bacteria; Bacillati; Bacillota; Bacilli; Caryophanales; Bacillaceae. The record is from RNAcentral.